UAAUAUUUGUUCAAAGAGCAAAAUAUAUUUUUAUCCUGUAUAACCAGUUGUAAUUACCAAAAGGCGGAAAGUUUCAAAACAAUAUGUGUAUUUAUAAGAUUAAAAAGGUCAGAGGUAAUUUAAAAAAUAAGAAUAGCAAUUAUAAUAAGCAAAUAGGUUAUAGGAAGGUAUUUAUUAAAAUUAUACAUAAAAUAAAUUAUUUAAAGAAGUUUUAUAAGUAAACUUAUUUGGUAUUCCUUUUAUUUUAAGUAUUUUAUAUCCACACAUUUUAGUUUAUUAUAAUAAAUAACUCAUUUAAAAUAUAAUAUCUCUUAUAAAUGUAAUAAAUAGGUUAAAAUUAUAUAUAAGUUAAUUUAUUAGGUUGUAAAACUUACUUUAUAUAAUAAAAGUAAUUUUAAAAUAGUUUUUCAAAAUUUGUUUUAUAAUGUAAAAAUUGAAUUGAAUUAAAUUUUGAUUUCUUUUUAUUCCCGUAAAUUUAACUAGACUUAAAAUAAUUUAACUUAAUCUAGUUUAUAGCUAUAUUUUAAAUAUAACGUGGACGACUGCGAAAAGUUAAUUGGUAAUAGUUAAAUCUUUUAAUUCGAAAAAUCGAAUAUUUUAUUAACGCAAAACAAAAUGCGGUUUUGAAAUAUUUGGUGAAACGGCGAACCUUAGUAUAUUUUAAUUUAAGAGCCUCAUUUGACGACUUCUUAUAAAUUCCUGGAAAUAUAUAGGAAAAAUUGCAAAUAUAAAAUAAAUUGCGGAGUUUGCAUUAAAUAAACAGUUGUUAUUUUUGGAAAUAUUUAUUAAAACUUACAAAAAUAAUAUUAAAACUCAAGGAGUAAUUUAAAUUGAAAAUUUAAAUUUAACGGUUUUGGAAAACUUGCUUUUAUAAUAUUAAAAACAAAUAUAGCGGUAAAGGUUUUUUAUUAAAUAAUUAAUAAUUUGUUAAAUAGUUUUCCAAAUUUAUUUACCGCGUAAAACAAACCUUUUUAUUAUAAAAAAUACGGUGGAAUAUUAGAGAAUCCCCAAAGCCAAAUACCGAUUAUAUAUUUCUCGGUAAAUAAGGGGUUUAACAUAAAAAAUACGGAAAGAAAUUUAAAAACACCAUUUACCAUACAAAUUAAAAUGUGGAUAUAAUUAUAAUUAGAAUAAACUUUGAAAAUAAGAGGCGAAACAAACGUCGCAUUAAAAAAACAAACGUCGAUUUAAACCCUAUUGCGCUAAUUAUAUUAAUUAAAAAACGUAAGGAAAAAGCCAAAAUACAACCGUUUGUUUGCAAUACGGUACCUAAUACUAUAUGGUAUAAAGUUUGGAACAUUUUAACAGUAAGUAACCUUUUUAUAAUUAGUAUUUAGUGCGAUAAAAUAAAACAGGUCGAAAAAAACUUGGAAAAAAGAUUCCGGGGCGGAGAUUUAUUUAGAACCGGAUAUGCGGAAACUAUAUCCUUCUAAAAUAUAAAUAAGGAUUAUAUCUCGUUUAAUAAUAAUUAAUUAUAUAUAUUUUGAAUAUAAUAAUAAGUAAAAACUGUAAUUAUUACUAAAUAAUAACCGAGGAAAUUAUAUUUUAAGUCGGGUUUACUAUUUUGGUAAUUACGCCUAAAUAUAUAAUAAAUAUUA
RNAcentral lists this small RNA (1598 nucleotides) under Pyricularia oryzae. RNAcentral's name for it is "Magnaporthe oryzae sRNA M_BR32_EuGene_00108941". Lineage: Eukaryota; Fungi; Ascomycota; Sordariomycetes; Magnaporthales; Pyriculariaceae. The record is from RNAcentral.